GCUUUAUAUUUUUUAUGUAUAAAAUAAUAGAAAUGAAACAAAAGAAGGGGAUUUCAGCUUAUGGGAAACAAUCUUUUUCAGUUUUUAUUACAUACAUGAUGAGUCCGUGAAGCUGAAACCAAUCUAAGGUUCCAAAUAACAAUUACAAUAUUCUUCAAAUUUAUCAGAGGCAAAAAGUGAACAGGGCUGGCUCCGUUCAUCCAUUUUAUAUCUUCUUCCAUUUAUCCUCCUCCAUCUUCCAAAACAGGUGCUACGCCUCCAUAACCAUAUCCAAUUUAUAUGUUCAAACCCUUCAUGUAAAUCAACAAGGCCCCCAAUUUCUCUAUAACGUGUAUCAAGUAUUCACUUUAUAAGGUGUUCUAGCUUAUUUUUGCUGUGGAGGAGCUUUACACAAUAUUAUCAAUCCUUCUUAUCCCGCCUUCAUACACAACCAUAAUUCUAAUUUCUUCUCCCAUGUCCAAUCCCACCAUUCUUUUUUUUUUUUUUCAAAAAUUCACCAUAGAGUAAUUGAGGUAGUAAGC
This 521-nucleotide long non-coding RNA is filed under the name Vigna radiata. RNAcentral's name for it is "long non-coding RNA (VRAD_LNC007919)". The record is from RNAcentral. Lineage: Eukaryota; Viridiplantae; Streptophyta; Magnoliopsida; Fabales; Fabaceae.